CCUCUCCUCCCUGCUCCCUCUCUCCCAACCCUAAUUUUUUUCCUCCAAUCCCCCAUAGCCGCCUCCCCGUCCAAAGAGACUGGGCGGCUCCCAAGCAGGGGAUCCGGCAACACUGGCUUCUCCUCUUCUACGCCACCGUUGUCCACCCCUCUUCAUCUUAUGAGGGCAUGGAGGUGAGCUUCUCCGGUGGCGGCGGCGACCUGCAGCCGAAGGGCGACGGCGGCGGUGCUCGACUCAAUCUACAGGAGAGAGAGACAGAGGAUGAGAGGGAGAGAGAGAAGGAAGGAGAGGAGGAUAAAGAGAGAGGAAAUAGGAGAGGGAGGUGCGGCGGUGGACAGGAGAGGGUGGGUGGAAGGACGCCGCCGGCUCGUCGUUGUUCACACCGUGUUGGACAAAGAGGAGAGGGAUGUGCGGCGGCAGAUGGGAGAGGGUCACCGGAAGGAGCACCGCUGGCUCGUCAUCGUUCACACCGCACUGGGAAAGUGAUGCCUCUGUAUAGCCCUCACGCCCGCAGAGUACAGAAGUGGUUGCCCCUGAGGUCUCCUCCUGCUCAGCUUAUUCAUUGAGAUCAGCAGGGGGAAGGUCCAGAGUGAAAUCUUCAGGAGGGAUUUGAUGUUGCUAUUGUUUCAGUUUGCAGAUAGAGGAUGUGAUUCCAGCAAGACAGAGAUGUGGCGAUGACAAGUGAGAUUUAUGUAAGGAGUAUUAGCAUAUGCUCACAUGAUCACUGGAAGCUUAUAAAGGUAUCCUCAAUGAUUGUUGAUUUCUUAUCGACACAUAAUUGAAUUAUAAUUAUAGACAGUAAGAGUAGUUGUCUUUUCAUUUGUUAGAAAACAUAGUGUACCUUUAUAAUCGUAGCUAUAUGCAAUGAUCCAUGAUGUCUCCAGCGUGGUAUGAACGGCUCGUCGUCGUUCACACUGCGCUGGAGAAAGAGGAGAGGGAUGUGCGUCGGCAGAUGGGAGGGGGUCACCGGAAGGAGCGCCGCUGGCUUGUCAUCGUUCACACCGCACUGGGCCAGAGAUGCCUCUGUACAGCCCUCACGUCCGCAGAGUACAGAAGUGGUUGCCCCUAAGGUCUCCUCCUGCUCGGCUUAUUCAUUGAGUUUGCAGAUAGAGGAUGUGAUUCCAGCAAGACAUAGAUGUGGCGAUGACAAGUGAAAUUUAUGUUAAGGAGUAUUAGCAUAUGCUCACAGGAUUACUGGAAGCUUAUUAAGGUGGAAAUUAGCAAGCAAGCUACAGUCGGUGCAAGGAUGUCCAAGUUUACUUAUUACUUUACGAAGAUGAUGAUUCCUGCAUGUUGAUUGUGCUUCAAGGUAGAAGAGGAUGGGAGGAGGGGACGUGCGCUCUAUAUUUUAUUAUGCACACCUUUCUAAACUAUACUUGUCUUCUUAACACAUGUUCAUUGUCCAGUAGAAGCUGUAGAUUUCAGCGUACAAUACUUUCCAAAACCGCAGAAGGUGUUAUUAAUAUGGGGAGAAGAGCAGUCCAAAUGGCGGAUGGAGUAUGUGACCUGUUGAUGUUAGUUUCAUUUUCAGAAGGAACAAAUUUUCUAUAAUUUGAGUGUAUGCUGACGUGUUAAAGUCAAUCAUUUGGAUUCCCAACUCGACCAUUGUGUGUGUUCUUUAUUUUAUUGUGCAUUGAUAAAAUGUUUCAGUGCCCGUGUGCACCAAGUUGAAUUUAGAAACAGAUGAGAGGACAACACUGCAUAAGGGAGUUUGCCCUUCAGGAAGGUUCUUGUUUGCUGCUGUGAUUAAUAGUAGGAAAGUUUUAUACCUA
Long non-coding RNA from Triticum aestivum (bread wheat), 1772 nucleotides. RefSeq lists it as uncharacterized. The record is from RefSeq and is a predicted model, not a curated record. The transcript is spliced from 8 exons. NCBI's taxonomy places the organism in Eukaryota, Viridiplantae, Streptophyta, Magnoliopsida, Poales, Poaceae.